AAAUUGAAGAGUUUGAUCAUGGCUCAGAUUGAACGCUGGCGGCAGGCCUAACACAUGCAAGUCGAACGGUAACAGGAAACAGCUUGCUGUUUUGCUGACGAGUGGCGGACGGGUGAGUAAUGUCUGGGAAACUGCCUGAUGGAGGGGGAUAACUACUGGAAACGGUAGCUAAUACCGCAUAACGUCGCAAGACCAAAGAGGGGGACCUUCGGGCCUCUUGCCAUCGGAUGUGCCCAGAUGGGAUUAGCUAGUAGGUGGGGUAACGGCUCACC
This 272-nucleotide ribosomal RNA is filed under the name Escherichia coli. Its description in RNAcentral is "partial 16S ribosomal RNA". It matches the Rfam family "Bacterial small subunit ribosomal RNA", at positions 1 to 269 of the family's 1533-position model. The record is from RNAcentral. Lineage: Bacteria; Pseudomonadati; Pseudomonadota; Gammaproteobacteria; Enterobacterales; Enterobacteriaceae.